Molecule: ribosomal RNA, 472 nt
Filed under: uncultured bacterium
Lineage: Bacteria
Description: partial 16S ribosomal RNA
Rfam family: Bacterial small subunit ribosomal RNA
Source: RNAcentral
GACGAACGCUGGCGGCGUGCUUAACACAUGCAAGUCGAGCGGAAAGGCCCUUCGGGGUACUCGAGCGGCGAACGGGUGAGUAACACGUGAGUAAUCUGCCCUUGGCUUUGGGAUAGCUACCGGAAACGGUGGCUAAUACCGGAUACGACAACCGUCUGCAUGGGCUGGUUGUGGAAAGGUUUUUCGGCCAGGGAUGUGCUCGCGGCCUAGCAGCUUGUUGGUGGGGUAAUGGCCUACCAAGGCCUCGACGGGUAGCCGGCCUGAGAGGGUGACCGGCUGCACUGGGGCCGAGACACGGCCGAGACGCCGAAGGGGGGCAGCAGUGGGGAAUAGUGGAAAAUGGGCGGAAGCCUGAUCCAGCAACGCCGCGUGAGGGAUGACGGCCUUCGGGUUGUAAACGUCUUUCAGUACCGACGAAGCGCCGAUGAUGGUGGUGACGGUAGGUACAGAAGAAGCACCGGCCAACUACGUG